GAUGAACGCUGGCGGCGUGCCUAACACAUGCAAGUCGAGCGAACAGACGAGGAGCUUGCUUCUCUGACGUUAGCGGCGGACGGGUGAGUAACACGUGGAUAACCUACCUAUAAGACUGGGAUAACUUCGGGAAACCGGAGCUAAUACCGGAUAAUAUAUUGAACCGCAUGGUUCAAUAGUGAAAGACGGUUUUGCUGUCACUUAUAGAUGGAUCCGCGCCGCAUUAGCUAGUUGGUAAGGUAACGGCUUACCAAGGCAACGAUGCGUAGCCGACCUGAGAGGGUGAUCGGCCACACUGGAACUGAGACACGGUCCAGACUCCUACGGGAGGCAGCAGUAGGGAAUCUUCCGCAAUGGGCGAAAGCCUGACGGAGCAACGCCGCGUGAGUGAUGAAGGUCUUCGGAUCGUAAAACUCUGUUAUUAGGAAAGAACAAAUGUGUAAGUAACUAUGCACGUCUUGACGGUACCUAAUCAAAAAGCCACGGCUAACUACGUG
This 497-nucleotide ribosomal RNA is filed under the name uncultured bacterium. RNAcentral's name for it is "partial 16S ribosomal RNA". It matches the Rfam family "Bacterial small subunit ribosomal RNA", at positions 28 to 507 of the family's 1533-position model. The record is from RNAcentral.